GCGUUUACUUUUCUACAUUGGCUAGAGGUAUAGGGGGAGGGUUGAGAUCUCACAAACAUGUUUAACCCCGCCGCAUUUUUGCGCCUGUCCCAAGUCAGGAGCCUCUGGCCUUUGUUAGUCUUGUAUUAUUUUAAUUUUAGUUUCUUGUGUAAAAUUUGGAAAUUAGUAUGGCGUUCAUUAUCACUGAACUAGUAUAUAUUUGUUUAGGGGCCAGCUGAAGGACGCCUCCGGGUGCGGGAAUUUCUCGCUACAUUGAAGACCUGUUGGUGACCUUCUGCUGUUGUUUUUUUAAAUGGUCGGGUUGUUGUCUCUUUGGCACAUUCCCCAUUUCCAUUCUCAAUUUUAU
RNAcentral lists this long non-coding RNA (346 nucleotides) under Mytilus galloprovincialis (Mediterranean mussel). The record is from RNAcentral. Lineage: Eukaryota; Metazoa; Mollusca; Bivalvia; Mytilida; Mytilidae.